GAUAUUGAUCAAAUGUUAGGUAUCAGGAGCUUUUCAGAUGCUUUGAAUGCACUUUGUCUCCUCCAGACACUGCUCAGCCCAGACUAAGUCUCUCACAAUCAGAUCUGUGCUGGGAUUGUUCUGGUCUUGAGGCAACCUAUAGCAUUUUUGUUAAGCACUUGCAGAAUCAUAAAGAUCUUGUCACAGUUCAGACUCACAAACCACACAGUUUUAGGGACCCCAGGUGGUGGUCCAGUAGGACCAGUCUCUUAUGCUGUGUGCUUGGUACUUUCCUCAUCUGUAUCUAUGCUGGAUCAGACUUGGGAGGACCUGUUUGUGCUGCUCAGGACCUAUGUCUUGAUAUUUGUUUCCUGGACUGUGGAUUCUCAUUCUUUCUGAGGCUUAGACUACAGGGCAGCUUCUCCCAAAGGGAGGACAAGUGUUGAAGUCAUCAAGCACUUUAUUUUUGUCUCUAUAAUGCAAAUGAAAGUAGUUAAGAUUCUGAGCUGGCUCAGAGAGAAUUCAAGUUUCUAAAUGACUCCUUUCUCUCUAAAUGUGAAGGAAUUCAUGACCUUAUGGCCUUCCUGUCCCUUUACUCUCUGAGCCCCUUUCACCCUUCCACACCGCUUUGAUGGGUUACUAAGGAAGCUGUCCGUUCCUUCUAAUCAGUGUCAGUUGCUGAACAAACUCCUAGAACUGAUACUGUCCUUUCACUUAAGCUGCUCUGGUCACUGAUAAUAUUCCCUUCUCCGGGCCAGCCUCCUCUAUAAAUUUCAUUUUGCCAUCGAUCAUGAAUUUUAAUUAAUGUGCGUUAAUUUAAAGCACCCUAUAGCAAACCAAACCCAAAUCCAGUUACAGCCUGUGAUAAGUCACUUCUUCAAAAAAGGGAACAAGGUCCAUUCUUCACUGAGAUGGGGCGGGGGGGGAGGGUGUGUAUUGUGGGCAAAAUGUGACAACUUGGGAGGCACCCUCAUGAGCAUUAAAAUGAAAAUCUUGGGAGGAGUGUUGUUCUUCUCAAAAGUUCCCUUAAGUCUAGAUAAUCCUGCUCCAGGAAAUAGGGAUAGUUAACAAUUUUAAAGCAAAAUCCAGCUCAUGAUGUUAUGACACUUUGUAUUUAAACCAGUAAAGCAAAUAGUCUGAUAAUUGCUGGUGGAAGUGUGGGGAGGUGCCAUCCUCGUGAAGAAGGACAUGCAUGAGUCUCUCUUGGAUCCAUGGAAUGAGGGAAACUGCAGGAUGCUCAGAGUAUAUUCAUCCAGAAGGCAGUUUCACUCGGGAGGUGUUCAUGUCCAUUACGAAAGCUGAGGAUGGGUAGGGGAGGAGGAAGGGAAAGCUAGGGGAGUCCGUGAUGGCCCUUCUCCUGGUGUCACAGAGCUAAGAGCUGCACCUGAGUCUCUUGGGUCCGCCUUGGUUACCGUUGUUGAUGAUAAGCUUUGGAAAAUAGCAGGACCCAAAGCUAAUGACCUUCCAGAUGUCUGUUCCUUUACUCAUUCCCAAGACGUGAGUGUUCACUCCAACUUGGAGCUUGUUUCCUGGGCAUAACUGGCCUGAAGCUACUUCUUGUUUUUUGAUUCCAUCUGUCACCUGAGAUGCGACAGGUUUCAAGGCACUUGCUGAGGGUCGCUCUCAUGGGGACUCGAAGUUUGCUUGAUCCAAGGCCAAAAACACCAGGGAAAGUAACAGCUGUCCAUGGCAGUGCCAGGAAAGCAAGCACCGCAUCCUGGCGGCCUUUGGCUGUAACUGUGCCCACUCGGCCAUGAGCAAUGAGUGGGGAACCUGGAUGCUAUCACAUCUAUAACAUCUGCAGGGAGGCCACUGGUGAGCCCCCAGCCAACGCUCAGGCUGUUCCCUUUGGACCACAGCACCCAGAAAGCUCCUCUUCGUCUCCCGGGCAGAUGGAGUGACUCAUCCCACUACCCACAGAAUCUGAGCCCCAGGGUGUGUCUCCCUCGCCCUCCUUGCGCUAAGAGACUCAGGCUCUGAAACCCGCCAGGACAUGGCUUCAGGGAAUGGGGCCGCAGGAAUGUGAGUGUGCUGGGCUGCCCGCUUCUCUUAGAUAAGGAUGCUCUCCAUUUCCAGAGGGUAUAUAUAUAUAAAUGUAUUUUUUUUUUCUUGUAAAACCAAAACAUGCCUGCCUGAAACCUCAGUCUUAUACAGAGACCAGUCUUUGUAGUUAACUCCCCAUGUCAUUGUCACAUCUGAAUUGUCAUUGAUCAUUUGCUUUUGAAAUCAAGGGCUAUUUUCGUGUUCCCUUUGGCCAUGACAUAGAACCAGUGGAAAAUCAGACAUGAGGCCCUGACACUGCAUCUGCCAGAGGUGUGCUCUUGUAACUUAUUAGUCACAUCUGUAAAUUCACCCCAGCAGCCUCACUAUACCUAAUUUGGCCUCUUUGUCAUGCUUGCGCCUGCUCCAACACACAUCACACGUGUAUACACACACACUCCUAACAGAUAGAUCCCAAACUGCCCAUGUCCAUUACGUUAUGGAGGAUCAGGGAUAUACAUUUUCCUGGUAAAUGAAAGUGUUCUUUUGGAACUGGAUGGACAGAUUGCAGUUUUUUGAGCCACCAUGUUUCCUUUGCUCUUCUGAGCCUGUGGAUCACCGACGCCUCAAGCUUUGACAGAAUAGCCAAGCUUUAUGAUAAGGGUUGUAAUAGAACACACAGGCGUACUAUGCCUGUCCCUAUUGAACCCUGUGGAAUCCAUGUGGUCCUCAGAUAUCCCAUUAGUGGGUCAGUGCUAAGAGGAUGGAGAAGCAAAAGACAGGCUCAAGCACAGACAGGCUCGAUGCUUAGAUAAACACAGUUCUAUGUGUACGCACAUCUCCUCUUGACAACACCACGAGCAGGGGUGGAGAGGUUCUGUCCUCAGUGGGGACACGAAAGGCAAAUGUACCGUGGGCGAUUCUUUAAAUUUUUCUUCUCCCAGGGUCAAGAGUGGGGAAACUAUCACGACCUCACGCCAGCAAAGAGGCUAGAGAAACAUCCAGGCAGAACUGUUAUUGCAAAAAACAGAACAGAGCAAAAAUACCCUUUCUGUCAUGCAAACACAAUUGGAAAAUGAUGGGGGCACUUACAGCCGUGUUUUCUUUCCCCUGGUUCCCUUACUAUCUUGCAUCCUUGUUCUCAAUAUAGGGCUCCUGAGGUGUUCUGUGUUCUAAGUCAGCCCCAAGCAGCUCACCCUCAAAAACACGUGCAGUGCAUAUGCACCAUCAGGAUGAGAAGCUGAGAGCACAGAACUUGAAUGUAUGCACGGUAUUUAAUAUUCUCAAACCAGAACCCAACAAGCCUAGUACAGUCAGCCCCACUUGACUCAUAUCUUAAUGAUGGGGGACAGGGCCUGCGGCGCAUAACUGAGUUCCUAGGAUCCCAGAAAAGAGAACAACUUUGUUGCUGGAUUCCUCCUGAGUACGUUCAGUGAUCUGGGCAAUUACCUUGGUCACUUCUUGGCAGCAGGCACAAGAAAUGGGGCACAGAGAAGUUUGAGGAGUCAUUGCUUACGCAUUCUUAGCACAAUUCCCUGAGCUGUGGCAGUUUCUAGCCUGACUCUGCUACCCCACCUUGGAGAAGGAGAGUUUCUGAGGUCACCAGCAGCCCGCUUAUGUCUUCACCAUAACCAUUCCUCCAGAUGGCUUCCUUUGGCAUGGAAGUAUGAUCGUCUUUUAAUUUUACAGAUGAAAAAAGUUGAAACACAGCAGAAUUUGAUGAUUAGUCAAAACUAAGGUUAUGUAGGAAAUUUUUGGCAGAACCAAAUUUGUCUGAAUUUCCAACUCUCAGCCUGGCUCGCCAAGUAAUGCUGCCUGAAUUAUUCACCCCGUCCUGUGUCCAGCAUCUAACAGAGGGGGAAAAUUCAGGGGAAAAAAAUAGGCUGCUGGUUGAUGGUUUACUCAGAGAUCUUUCCCAUGAGAAUUUGUCUUCUUCACAGAGCCAUACACACACACACACACACACACACACACACACACACACACACACACACUCCACAGGAGUCUAAGAGACAAGUCAAAGGCAGAAGAAAAAGAACUUAAAACUGAGAAAGGGGUAGUAGAAAAGUUUCUGUAAUGAAGAAGAGUUGAAAACUAAAUAACAAAAAUGGUUUUGAAUUUUGUGGGGUGACACAUUGUGAAUAAUUUUUUAUCAUUAAAACCUUUUUAUGUAGCAUGUAACCCACUCAAAUAAAGAGCUCAAG
This 4163-nucleotide long non-coding RNA is filed under the name Sus scrofa (pig). RNAcentral describes it as "lncRNA (ENSSSCG00000063526.1)". The record is from RNAcentral. Lineage: Eukaryota; Metazoa; Chordata; Mammalia; Artiodactyla; Suidae.